GACGAACGCUGGCGGCGUGCUUAACACAUGCAAGUCGAACGGAAAGGCCCUGCUUUUGUGGGGUGCUCGAGUGGCGAACGGGUGAGUAACACGUGAGUAACCUGCCCUUGACUUUGGGAUAACUUCAGGAAACUGGGGCUAAUACCGGAUAGGAGCUCCUGCUGCAUGGUGGGGGUUGGAAAGUUUCGGCGGUUGGGGCUGGACUCGCGGCUUAUCAGCUUGUUGGUGGGGUAGUGGCUUACCAAGGCUUUGACGGGUAGCCGGCCUGAGAGGGUGACCGGCCACAUUGGGACUGAGAUACGGCCCAGAAUCCUACGGGAGGCAGCAGUGGGGAAUAUUGCGCAAUGGGCGGAAGCCUGAUGCAGAAACGCCGCGUGCGGGAUGACGGCCUUCGGGUUGUAAACCGCUUUCGCCUGUGACGAAGCGUGAGUGACGGUAAUGGGUAAAGAAGCACCGGCUAACUACGUG
This 468-nucleotide ribosomal RNA is filed under the name uncultured bacterium. Its description in RNAcentral is "partial 16S ribosomal RNA". It matches the Rfam family "Bacterial small subunit ribosomal RNA", at positions 28 to 507 of the family's 1533-position model. The record is from RNAcentral.